Molecule: long non-coding RNA, 622 nt
Filed under: Marmota monax (woodchuck)
Lineage: Eukaryota; Metazoa; Chordata; Mammalia; Rodentia; Sciuridae
Source: RNAcentral
GAGCAUUAUGUGCUAGAAAUUGAGGGAGACUCUAGAAACAUACAUAGUGGUUGGCCAGGCAACCCUGGUCCUUACUUUCAUGGAGUUCAAAGAUUAUGGAGGCAGGCACAACCUAGAGGUGAGCAGGAAGUUGGCAGACCCAUUUGACCCUCCAUUAAGCUAUAACAUAGCUAUUAUCAAAUCUAAAGAUAUACAUGAGUUUCCCUUUGCCUUUUUUUCCUCAUUUGGUUCAGCACUCAGGCAGAAAAACAGCUGUCAUGGACUGGUCCCUCUACCCUCCAGUAAAGGAUGUAGGAGAAAGUGCUUGAGGCUUAUAGCCUGAUAUUUAAUAGAUGAGGGGGAGCUGUGUUUAGGCAGGAAUUGGUAAAGUGACAUAUAAAUGAAAUCAUACAGUAUAUGUUAUUUUGCAUCUAGCUUCUUUCACUUAAUGAUUUUAUGUAGCAUGUAUUAGUACUUCAUUCCUUUUUUUGUGGCUGAAUAAUCUUCUGUCAUACAGAUAUACCACAUUUUGUUUAUCCAUUUAUCAGUUGAUGGGUUUUGGGUUGUUUCUACCUUUUUGUCACUGAAUAGUGCUGCAAUGGACACUCAUAUAGGAGUUUUUGUGUAGACACACUUUCAUUUC